GGGGAGAUACUCAAGUUCGGUUAACGAGGACAGACUGUAAAUCUGUUGGCUAUGCCUUCGCAGGUUCGAAUCCUGCUCUCCCCA
Molecule: transfer RNA, 84 nt
Filed under: Blattabacterium sp. (Cryptocercus kyebangensis)
Lineage: Bacteria; Pseudomonadati; Bacteroidota; Flavobacteriia; Flavobacteriales; Blattabacteriaceae
Description: tRNA-Tyr
Rfam family: tRNA
About the family: Transfer RNA (tRNA) molecules are approximately 80 nucleotides in length. Their secondary structure includes four short double-helical elements and three loops (D, anti-codon, and T loops).
Source: RNAcentral